This is a transfer RNA of 73 nucleotides. It matches the Rfam family "tRNA". From Rfam's summary of the family: Transfer RNA (tRNA) molecules are approximately 80 nucleotides in length. Their secondary structure includes four short double-helical elements and three loops (D, anti-codon, and T loops).
AGGCUGGGUAACAUAAUGGUAAUGUAUAAAGCUGCAAAUUUUAUAAUAGCGGUUCGAUCCCGCUUCUAGCUUG